RNAcentral lists this ribosomal RNA (253 nucleotides) under uncultured bacterium. RNAcentral describes it as "partial 16S ribosomal RNA". It matches the Rfam family "Bacterial small subunit ribosomal RNA", at positions 524 to 776 of the family's 1533-position model. The record is from RNAcentral.
UACGAGAGGCCCAAACAUUAUUCGGAAUUACUGGGCUUAAAGAGUUCGUAGGCGGCGUGGAAAGUAGGGUGUGAAAGCCCUCGGCUCAACCGAGGAAUUGCGCUCUAAGCUGCCGUGCUAGAGGAAACUAGAGGUGAGCGGAACUGAUGGUGGAGCGGUGAAAUGCGUUGAUAUCAUCAGGAACACCGGAGGCGAAGGCGGCUCACUGGCCCGGUACUGACGCUGAGGUGCGAAAGCGUGGGGAGCAAACAGG